CACCAAUGGAAGUUUACAGGUGACCAGCCCUAAUUAAACCAUCUGUAAGUGGCACACGAUCAUUUUCAAUGCUAGAAAGAACGCAGCCCUGAGCCAGCACGACCACCUCGCUUCUGUGAUUCCAGCUCACGAUGCUGCCUGGGCUCUCCUGGGCAGCACCCCAAGUCCGUGCCACGUUGGCAUCCCAAAUCCAUGCAACACUGGCAUCCCAGGACUUUGCUGCACUGGCACCCUUGCAAAACUGGCACUUCAAGUCCUUACCACAUUGGCAUCCCAAGUCCUUGCCAAAUUGGCACCCAAGUCUUUGCCAUAUUGGGAUCCCAAGCCUUCACCAUCUUGGCAUCCCAAGCCUUUGCCACCUUGGCAUCCCAAGUCUUUGCCAAAUUGGCAUCUCAAGUCCUUGCCAAAUUGGCAUCCCAGGACUUUGCCACAUUGGCACCCCAAGUCUUUGCCACACUGGGAUCCCAAGUCUUCACCAUCUUGGCAUCCCAAGACCUUGCCAAAUUGGCAUCCCAAGUCUUUGCCACAUUGGUACCCCAAACUUUUGCCACAUUGGCAUCCUAAGUCUUUGCCAUCUUAGCAUCCCAGGACUUUGCUGCACUGGCAUCCCAAGUCUUCACCAUCUUGGCAUCCCAAAUCCUUGCCAAAUUGGCAUCCCAAGUCUUUGCCACAUUGGUACCCCAAACUUUUGCCACAUUGGCAUCCCAAGUCUUUGCCAUCUUAGCAUCCCAGGAGUUUGCUGCACUGGCAUCCCAAGUCUUUGCCAUAUUGGCAUCCCAAGACCUUGCCAAAUUGACAUCCCAAGUCUUUGCCACAUUGGCAUCCCAAGCCCUCGUCCAUUGGCAUCCCAAUUCUUCACUGUGCCCAACAGCACUCGGGGAAACGUCUCCCAUGGCCCACAAAGUCUGCCCCGAGAUCCCCGGGCUGCAGUCUGCUCCCCCCGGCAGAGCAGCCCCUGCAGAUCAGCUUUGUCUCUGUCAGCCCCCUCCAAAUUCCUGCACUAAUCCCCAUCCUCUCCAGUUUCAGUUACAAUUUUCCACAUGGCAGAGUAUCAAAAGCUUUGCUGAACUCCGGCUACAUUGGAUCUGCCCCACGUCUUUCAUCCAGGAGGGGAUUUUGUGCUCAGAGGAGAGGUGAGGACGUUCAAUGGGUUUCUGUUAAAUCUCUCCUUUUAUCUCCUCUCCAUUUAGCCGUAUGGCUCCAGUUGCUCUUUAGGAUCACUUCCAAAGCAUUCCAGCCCACCAAGUUCAGCUCUGACAACAGCACCUCUCACACAGUCAGUGCACAGAG
RNAcentral lists this long non-coding RNA (1290 nucleotides) under Chrysolophus pictus (golden pheasant). RNAcentral's name for it is "lncRNA (ENSCPIG00010013927.1)". Lineage: Eukaryota; Metazoa; Chordata; Aves; Galliformes; Phasianidae. The record is from RNAcentral.